GAGGGUGUAGCUCAAUUGGUAGAGAGCACACUUAGCAUGCAUGAGAUCAUGGGUUCAAUCCCCAGUACCUCCU
Transfer RNA from Camelus ferus (Wild Bactrian camel), 73 nucleotides. It matches the Rfam family "tRNA". Rfam says of the family: Transfer RNA (tRNA) molecules are approximately 80 nucleotides in length. Their secondary structure includes four short double-helical elements and three loops (D, anti-codon, and T loops). The record is from Rfam. NCBI's taxonomy places the organism in Eukaryota, Metazoa, Chordata, Mammalia, Artiodactyla, Camelidae.